AACGAACGCUGGCGGCAUGCCUAACACAUGCAAGUCGAACGAGACCUUCGGGUCUAGUGGCGCACGGGUGCGUAACGCGUGGGAACCUGCCCUUAGGUUCGGAAUAACUCCCCGAAAGGGGUGCUAAUACCGGAUAAUGUCUUCGGACCAAAGAUUUAUCGCCUUUGGAUGGGCCCGCGUUGGCUUAGCUAGUUGGUAGGGUAAAAGCCUACCAAGGCGACGAUCCAUAGCUGGUCUGAGAGGAUGAUCAGCCACACUGGGACUGGGACACGGCCCAGACUCCUACGGGAGGCAGCAGUGGGGAAUAUUGGACUAUGGGCGGAAGCCUGAUCCAGCAAUGCCGCGUGAGUGAUGAAGGCCUUAGGGUUGUAAAGCUCUUUUACCCGGGAUGAUAAUGACAGUACCGGGAGAAUAAGCUCCGGCUAACUCCGUG
Molecule: ribosomal RNA, 433 nt
Filed under: uncultured bacterium
Lineage: Bacteria
Description: partial 16S ribosomal RNA
Rfam family: Bacterial small subunit ribosomal RNA
Source: RNAcentral